Molecule: ribosomal RNA, 337 nt
Filed under: uncultured bacterium
Lineage: Bacteria
Description: bacterial SSU rRNA
Rfam family: Bacterial small subunit ribosomal RNA
Source: RNAcentral
GAUGAACGCUAGCGGCAGGCUUAACACAUGCAAGUCGUGGGGCAGCGCGGACUUCGGUCUGGCGGCGACCGGCAAACGGGUGCGGAACACGUACGCAACCUCCCUCAGAGCGGGGAAUAGCCUCUCGAAAGAGAGAUUAAUACCCCAUAGUAUCUUGAAGACACAUGUCUAUGAGAUUAAAGCUUCGGCACUUUGAGAUGGGCGUGCGGCUGAUUAGGUAGUUGGUAGGUAACGGCUACCAAGCCGACGAUCAGUAGCUGAUGUGAGAGCAUGAUCAGCCACACGGGCACUGAGACACGGGCCCGAUCCUACGGGAGGCAGCAGUGAGGAAUAUUGG